AGAUUGUCACAUCUCUCAUUUGUUAAC
Molecule: non-coding RNA, 27 nt
Filed under: Rattus norvegicus (Norway rat)
Lineage: Eukaryota; Metazoa; Chordata; Mammalia; Rodentia; Muridae
Source: RNAcentral